This 97-nucleotide transfer RNA is filed under the name Trametes pubescens. RNAcentral describes it as "tRNA-Pro". It matches the Rfam family "tRNA". From Rfam's summary of the family: Transfer RNA (tRNA) molecules are approximately 80 nucleotides in length. Their secondary structure includes four short double-helical elements and three loops (D, anti-codon, and T loops). The record is from RNAcentral. Lineage: Eukaryota; Fungi; Basidiomycota; Agaricomycetes; Polyporales; Polyporaceae.
GGCCCAAUGGUCUAGUAGUAUGAUUCGCGCUUCGGGUUGUACCCCAGUGUAACGCUGAGACUGCGCGAGGUCCCGGGUUCAAUUCCCGGUUGGGCCC